CGCUGGCGGCAUGCCUAACACAUGCAAGUCGAACGAGACCUUCGGGUCUAGUGGCGCACGGGUGCGUAACGCGUGGGAAUCUGCCCUUGGGUUCGGAAUAACUCAGAGAAAUUUGAGCUAAUACCGGAUGAUGACGAAAGUCCAAAGAUUUAUCGCCCAGGGAUGAGCCCGCGUAAGAUUAGCUUGUUGGUGGGGUAAUGGCCUACCAAGGCGACGAUCUUUAGCUGGUCUGAGAGGAUGAUCAGCCACACUGGGACUGAGACACGGCCCAGACUCCUACGGGAGGCAGCAGUGGGGAAUAUUGGACAAUGGGCGCAAGCCUGAUCCAGCAAUGCCGCGUGAGUGAUGAAGGCCUUAGGGUUGUAAAGCUCUUUACCAGGGAUGAUAAUGACAGUACCUGGAGAAUAAGCUCCGGCUAACUCCGUG
This 426-nucleotide ribosomal RNA is filed under the name uncultured bacterium. Its description in RNAcentral is "bacterial SSU rRNA". It matches the Rfam family "Bacterial small subunit ribosomal RNA", at positions 34 to 507 of the family's 1533-position model. The record is from RNAcentral.